AGAAGAGUGCCUCGUAAGAGGAGCCUCUCACACAGGUGCUGCAUGGCUGUCGUCAGCUCGUGCCGUGAGGUGUUGGGUUAAGUCCCGCAACGAGCGCAACCCUCAUCUCUAGUUGCCAUCAUUAAGUUGGGCACUCUAGAGAAACUGCCGCAGUUAAUGCGGAGGAAGGUGGGAUGACGUCAAGUCCUCAUGGCCCUUAUGUCCAGGGCUACACACGUGCUACAAUGGGCUGUACAGAGGGUAGCGACCUCGCGAGAGCAAGCCAAUCCCAAAAAGCAGUCCUUAGUUCGGAUUGGAGUCUGCAACUCGACUCCAUGAAGCUGGAAUCGCUAGUAAUCGCGGAUCAGCAUGCCCGCGGUCGAAUACGUUCCCGGGCCUU
This 379-nucleotide ribosomal RNA is filed under the name uncultured Syntrophorhabdus sp. RNAcentral's name for it is "bacterial SSU rRNA". It matches the Rfam family "Bacterial small subunit ribosomal RNA", at positions 1006 to 1382 of the family's 1533-position model. The record is from RNAcentral. Lineage: Bacteria; Pseudomonadati; Thermodesulfobacteriota; Syntrophorhabdia; Syntrophorhabdales; Syntrophorhabdaceae.